Molecule: unclassified non-coding RNA, 3452 nt
Organism: Vespa mandarinia (Asian giant hornet)
Lineage: Eukaryota; Metazoa; Arthropoda; Insecta; Hymenoptera; Vespidae
Source: RefSeq, a predicted model, not a curated record
GUUUACAUUUGCUAUUUCCAUUUAUCCAUCCGUCCAUCUAUCAUCUAUUUUAUCUUUCAAAGAGUCGCCUUGGCAUCGCCAUACAAAGACGACAUUACCGAACUUUUACUUAUGUAUGCAGUUAUUAUACGUUCAGCCGUCCUAUCGUUCGUGAAAUCUAGUGCGCAUCCUUAUUUUCCCCAUCGACAAGGAGAAUUUAUAAAAAUCGUGAUUUUUAUAAAUGCACAUUAUAUAUCCCGUAUAUAUUAUAUUGUACGAAUAUUGUACGAGUACGCAUAUGAGAUACAUGCAGUAUUCGUAGAGUCGCGUACGCGAUGCGUCUGAGUUGGACGAACGAGAAAGCUCUUUACGUAUGCGAUGCACACGCUUCAUAUGCGUUCUAUUUGCAUAGAAUGCGCAUGCAUUUAGAAACGCGCGCACGUGGGAUAUCACGGAGAAUGGAUCCGUAAAUUCUAGUCUUGGUGUCAAAUGGAUGAGGGUACUUUCCUAGGGCACACGCGUUGUUAUUAUCGUUAUAUGUAUAUUUAUAAGGAAAACUUUACUAUUCGAUUAUUUCCCUCGACGUAAGCGUCGGAUCUUUCAUCGUCGUAUUCUGGUCGGACGAUAUCGAGGUGCGGCGCGGGAGGGAAAACGAAGCGGUAGCGACGUCCCCGCACGGACAUUUCCAUUACAAAGACGAACGCUCUCGCCGUUAUGGAAUACAUAUGUAUCGAGAGUUACUUCCACCUAAAGGUACGACCUAAAAUUGGAAAAUCUCCGUGUUAUAUUCGUCAUUGGACAUCGUCUCUUCGUCUAUAAUUCGCCCUCUCCGAUAAUUCUUCGAUAAUUCUUCGCGAAGAGAUGUACGAAUCCUGUCGAAUAUAAAAUCAGUCGAAUGGCUUCUUCUUCCUUCGAUUUUAAUCUCCUCGCUUAUACACGAAUAAUAUAUUUACGUAAAUGCCAACGCAACGUUUGAAAAUUAAUUUAAUUCUCACUAAUCUACUACUUCACUACGAUUUUCAUGCUCCGAGGUAACUAACUUUUAAUCGGCUAACCGAAUUAUAUAAUUUCGUUCCGUUAUUUAGAGAUUUAUUUAAGAGAUAGCGAUAGAGAUGUCUCGGAGACAUACGUUCGCGGUCACGGCUUAAAGAUUUUCUUCCUUCCGUCCUAUUGGGAUUUCUUAAUUAAAUUUUUUAAAUUGAAACUAUGCGACGAGACGAAAAAAAGAGGAAAAAAAUCUCGGUCCACUUAUCGUAAUUAUACCCAACGACCUUAAUGCGACGGCGACCGAUUAAUAGAACAGUGGAAUUUUUCAAAAAGUUUUAUCACGUUGGCUCGAAGUUGUUACUUCCUUCGGAUCAAGACUUUUGUCUUCGUUCGCGCGUUCGCGUUCUCGAAUUAUCGAUAAUUCGAGAAACGGUGUGAAGUCAGAUUCAAAUCAUCCCGACGAUUAGCUCGUUUUCUCUUAGAAUCGAGAUCUGGUCUAGUAGAGAAAGUUGUGCUUUGACGUGCGCCCGUUAAGAUGCGGAGCUUUAGGAAAAUUAUUAAGUAUCGCAGUAUCCUCUAGCAUUAAUCGAUAAAAAUUCGAUGAAAUUCCUCGGACGACGUGCUGCCUUUUAUUCUCAUUGAUCGGUUCAAAGUCCUGUGCCCCUCGAUAUGACGUUGCAACGUUCGCCGUUGGAGAUCGAAGCGAUCCUCGUUGGAAAUCCCAGCAUGACGAUUGAUACUACAAGGAUCGUUCUAAAAAACGAAGAUUUUCCGAGCGUGUACGGCCUCUUUCCGGACGUAGUAUUCGACAUAGAUUUUCUUCGAUUAUCUUAGCGCGAUAACCCAAUCGUUCGUGUACACACACACACACACACACACACACACACGCGCAUAUAUGUAUUAUACCACGUUCGCUCUAAUACGGUUCUUUCGCACAUCUUACGUUUCAUAUUCGUACCUCUCUUUAUUACGCUCUUCCGAGCUCGAGAUGGUACGAGGUAUAUGACAGACGUGACAGAGAAUCGUUACGCUUGAUCUCUCCCGAAAGUGGAUUUUCAUAAGUGGAAGUUGAAUUAAUAGAAAAGGGCCAAGGGGAGAGGAUCGGAAGGGGAGAGUGGUCGAUGCGAUGCGACGCGAACGAGAGGUCAUAAAAGUCUGACGCAAAGUGCGGUCAGGAUAAUGGUAGAGAGUGUGGGAGCAUACGUACACGCAUAAGCUUCUCGCGUUCGGAAGUUACGAUUUUCGCAACGUCCAUCGAUCCUCCCGUCCGAUCGAUUGAUCGUUCACAGGACAAAUGACUAUGCUUUCGAUAGAGCAGAUACGUUACGGACAACAAUUUCGUACUUACUGGCGUCUGUCCGAGGAAGAAUACGUGCCCAUAUACAAUUCGAUCGGACUGAAAGCCGCUCUGAACGCGAUCUAUGAGCCACGAAUUUAUAUCAUCGUCGACGAGUACCACGUUUGCUCGCAAAUGAGUAAACGUUUUUUCCUCGACAUAUUGGAAAGAUACAAUCUCGCGAGUAUUUCGGACUGGUACGAGGCCUCCUCGAUCAACAUCUUUUUCGAUCUGAACGUUUUAAAGUGCGCUUUAAUCGAAAAACAACCGACGGACGAUCCAGCUGCCCGAUUCGAUCAUCUCCUCUCAAAGACAUUGCCGGUCUACACCAACGAGACGAAGAAGGUCGACGAACAGUUGAAAGUUUUAAUGAAAGAAUCGGAUCGGACGUUCGGCUCGACAGAAUUAAGAUCGCAAAUACAAUCUUCACGGGACUACUACCGUGUCGUAGAAGAAUGAUCAACGAGGGAGAAUAAAGGAAGAAAGAUAAAGAAGCAGGCAUAUUGAGGAUCGACUUAAAUAAAAAUUAAAGGAAUAUAAAUAAUGGUUUAAAAUAAAAAACGAAAGAGAUGGAAAUUUUUCUAAUUCGAAAAAAGGAGACAACGAAAGCUAACGAUCACAGGACGAGUCACAGGAAGGAACGUCAGGGGGAGUUAUCGUCGAAGCAAACGAUCAAUUAUCUGUAGAGAAGGAGGAAAGAAAAAAGAAGAUAUAUCAAGACGAUGCUUUUAAUACGAAAGAUUUCAUUGUACCGUAUACGAUACUUGUGCUCGAAGGCGUUUGCUUUUCUAAUUCGAGGACGAACUGCCAGAGGCAUUCGCCUGGGAAACGUUCAAACGAGAGCUUCAUUGUGUUCGGCACAAUACGAUGCCUCUCGCAUCCUAUUAUCGCGUACCUUCUACCAUCCUGGAACCGACGUGUUUAUCGGCUCUUCUAUUUUCCGCUUUUCGCCUAUAUUCUUUGGAAUAAAAAGCCAGGUAAUUUGGCUUUCUCGAGAAUUCCUUGUUCGAACGAAAUAACUUUAUAAAGUCGCGGUAUAUCGGACGGCGGAAGGAUGUGAGAGGACUAUAUGGGUGAACACCAAACGGGCAGAGCAGAUCCGUCGAAAUCACGAACACGUGGCGAGACGUGAAGCGGGCGUUGAGCCUGC